UACAGAGGGUGCAAGCGUUAAUCGGAUUUACUGGGCGUAAAGCGUGCGUAGGCGGUUCAUUAAGUCGGUUGUGAAAUCCCUCGGCUCAACUGAGGAACUGCCUCCGAUACUGUUCGGCUUGAGUCCCGGAGAGGGUAGUGGAAUUCCCGGUGUAGCGGUGAAAUGCGUAGAGACCGGGAAGAACACCAGUGGCGAAGGCGGCUACCUGGACGGGUACUGACGCUGAAGCGCGAAAGCUAGGGGAGCAAACAGG
This 253-nucleotide ribosomal RNA is filed under the name uncultured prokaryote. RNAcentral's name for it is "partial 16S ribosomal RNA". It matches the Rfam family "Bacterial small subunit ribosomal RNA", at positions 524 to 776 of the family's 1533-position model. The record is from RNAcentral.